RNAcentral lists this unclassified non-coding RNA (291 nucleotides) under Hevea brasiliensis (rubber tree). Lineage: Eukaryota; Viridiplantae; Streptophyta; Magnoliopsida; Malpighiales; Euphorbiaceae. The record is from RNAcentral.
GGGGAGGUGAAGUACCUGCGCAUGGAGCGGAGUGGAUCAGCGAAGUUUCAGCGCAGGUUUCGGCUGCCGGAGGAUGCUGAUGCGGGGGCGAUUAAGGCGAGUUGUGAGAGCGGGGUGCUCACUGUGACGGUGGGGAAGGUGGUGGCGAAGGAGGAGGGGAAGCGGAAGACUGUGGAGGUGACUGUUGGUUGAGAAGCGAAGCGCGGCGAAGGGGGAGGGGAAGCUGAAGACUGUAAGUGACUGCUGUUGGUUUAGUAGCGAAGUGCUUUUAUUGUUUUGGUUAAUUAGUAG